GACCAAACACCAAGAAAAAUACAUGUAAAUAUAUAUGGCAAAUAAAAUGCCUCUGAUUCGAUUCUUUGGGUUUAAAUCUGAAUACAGAUACAGAUACAGAUACAGAUAGUGCGUCAUUGUGUUACACCCCUAAAAAAAAAAAAAAGGUAACUCAUAGCAUGAAGGUAAUAAUGAUGAUGAAAUAUAGAAAAGACUUUCAUUUUGAAAUGUUUACCUAUAGUCAAGGCAGUUGUUAGCUGUUGUGUUUAUACUGUACAUCUGUGUUCAUUUUGCUACUUUAAAGGGCUUCUUUAAAGGCCAGAAUAUUAUUUUAUAAUUGAAAAUCUGGGCACAGAUUUGUCGUUAAAUAAACUAGCCCUUAGGACAGAAACAGAUAUAUCAAAAUCUCAAUUGAAUCACAUUUGCAUGAUAUGACGAAUGUUGAGAACGCCAUAAAAUAAUAUGUAAAUUAAAAGAUAGGUACAGAGACAGACACGACAGAGCUGUCUCACCUAAACCCAAGUUAAACCUUAGGAUAUUUCUGUGAUAUUUCUCUUUUAUUUUGGGUUUUGUACUUUACGUAUGGUAAACAUCUGAAUUUCUUCUAUGGAAGUUCCUCCUAUAUUCAUUCCAAAUGCCAGAAGGUAUUGAUAUACACAGGUCAGCUAUGUUUCAGCCUCAUUCCUGCAGUAGCAUGUAAGCCACAGGUGAGUAUCCUGUCCCACGUUAUGUGAUUGAUGUCACACUUACCUCCUGAGUGGGGAAAAUCGCAGGGUGGAGGGCCUUGUGAUUUAGUGGGUGGUACACGACAGGUAUCAACAUCUAAAGACUUAAGUAGUCUUAAAGAAUGCCAUCUUUCCAAGUAACACUGAGUGCACGUUGAAUGGACCAGACCUGUAUUCUUAUGAAUUUUGUGUGUGUCCUGGCUUUUCAUUACUGCCUGAGCCUUUGUUUUGACUUCAUUGUCCACCUCAAUUACACAAUUUGUCAAAGUGGUUUUGGGGGAAUGCUUUUGAACAUACUUUGAGUGAUUAGCCCACUAUUCAUUAUCUAGAUCUACUUCCUGACGUAUAAUUCUAUACUUUAAAAAGCAGCUAAAAUUAGGCACUUUCGAUGGCGAGCAGACAUGAAGUCCGGACUUGUAUAACAAGACUCAUGCUGAAAAGACAGCAUGAAACAUAAUCAUCCGGUAGUAAUAGGCGUCGAUGAAAAAUAAUAGCACCCCCAAAAAAAACAGAGUGCAGUAUUUUCCCUAAAUGUUAUUGUUUAUUUAAGGUUGGCAGUGCACCCAAAAAUUACCUGCUAUGUGAUUUUUCUUUCACUGGACUGUUUUAACAGUUAUAAGGAAAGCGCAUGUGGAAUUUCCAGCUGACUUUAGGGGAACCAUGUCUUCCUGACUACACCCUGGUAUUUCCUGUCAAUCCGUGCUUGGGCGUGUUGACUUUGAAAGUGCUCCCCUUUCACCUUUUCGUGCCCCCAUACGGCUAAUUUCUUUUUAAAACUAAAUCUGGAUGUCAUCUGAAGAGACUCAGGUUUAAUAUACAGUUAAUGAUUUGUUAUUUACUCAGUUUAUUCAAAUGUACAUACCGUAUGUGCCGAGUUCAGAGUGGCUUGUGAUGUGGUCAAAUUAACAUACAAAUAAGACUUUUUAAACGCUGUCCCUUUUCCUGUGCUUUGUUACUCUUUUGCCAUCUCUGACGCAAGAUUGUUUUGAAUGCUAAGUUUCCUGUGUGACCUUAGAGGACAAAAGACCUCAUGAUCAAUAAGCUUGACUGAUCCCAAUCUUGCUAAACAUCUUCCGGCACUAAAAGUCAUACAUUUUCUGCUUUUUAAGCUGUCAGUAUUCAAUUAUGAGAUGGGAUUUUUGUCAAUGUCUGUCUGCUGAUCUUGACUUUUUGUGCUUUGGGUAUCCAACAUAGAGGGAAACCAAAAUCUGCAGCCCUUUGACAGUAGCUUGGAGCAGUGAUACUGAAUGGGAGGGUUAAAACAUCAGAACCUUGGUGUUACUAUUUUAAAACCUAUAAGGUCUGAACCGUAUAGCACGCCAUCUCAUAGACGUUAUUAUGCAUACACACAGGAACGCACACAUUUGUUGAAAUACAGAUAGGCAACGGCAAAGUUUCAGUCACGUGUUUCUGUAAUCAUGCCGUGUCUUUUCCCAAAAAGCAUGCAUGGUAAACAGAAAAGCUGCCCUAGCCAAGUUUUUCCUUAAAAAAAAAAAAAAAAACCACACACACACCCACGCACACAAAACGCUUCUGUGAUUUUUAUUUUUCUUGAAACAGAGGUUGGGCUUUGCCCUUCUGGUCCAUUUAUACCAGCCGGCCCUGGGUUGCAGGUUAUGAAGUAAUUCUGUACUCAGCUGUGACCUGUUCAUUUUGCUUUUGCAUGCAGUUUGGGGUGAAUGUGUUCCACCUUGGGCAAAUAUUGUUUUUCACGUGCGAUAGAAACCUACUGGGCGAGUGAGGUGCAGAACAAAUUUCUUCACAAUGUAGGACUUCAUUCAGGUCCCCCAACAUCCGGAUUGACUCUUUCAGUGCCUGAUGAAAAUUCAGCCUCUCUCCACCUCUCUGUUUGGAGGAAUGAAGAAGAGAAACGCUUCUGUUCGGAGCCUGUGAAAGUCUCCAUUCUUCCUUCUCAGGAAGAAGAGGGCUGUGGCGAGGAAGAACAUCCCCCCAAGGACGAUAACGAAGGGGCAGAGCAUGAGGGCGUAGCCUAAGCUCAGGAACUGCCACAGCACUGACGUUGCGUAGCUCUCCUGCAGAGCGUCUGAUAUCU
Long non-coding RNA from Pangasianodon hypophthalmus (striped catfish), 2757 nucleotides. RefSeq lists it as uncharacterized. The transcript has 3 exons. NCBI's taxonomy places the organism in Eukaryota, Metazoa, Chordata, Actinopteri, Siluriformes, Pangasiidae. The record is from RefSeq and is a predicted model, not a curated record.